GACGAACGCUGGCGGCGUGCUUAACACAUGCAAGUCGAACGGAAAGGCCCUGCUUUUGUGGGGUGCUCGAGUGGCGAACGGGUGAGUAACACGCGAGUAACCUGCCCUUGACAUUGGGAUAACUUCAGGAAACUGGGGCUCAAAUCGGAUAGGAGAUCUUGCUGCACGGGGGGGGUUGGAAAGUUUCGGCGGUUGGGGCUGGACUAGAAGCUUAUCGGCUUGUUGGGGGGGUAGUGGCUUAACAAGGCUUCGAAGGGUAGCCCGCCUUGGAGGGGAACCAGCCACAUUGGGACUGAGAUACGGCCCAGACUCCAACGGGAGGCAGCAGUGGAGAAUAUUGCGCAGUGGGCGGGAGCCUGAUGUAGAAGCGCCGCGUGCGUGAUGACGGCCUUCGGGUUAAAAACCGCUGUCGCCUGUGACGAAGCGUGAGUGACGGUACUGAGUAAAGAAGCACCGGCUAACUACGUG
RNAcentral lists this ribosomal RNA (468 nucleotides) under uncultured bacterium. RNAcentral describes it as "partial 16S ribosomal RNA". It matches the Rfam family "Bacterial small subunit ribosomal RNA", at positions 28 to 507 of the family's 1533-position model. The record is from RNAcentral.